RNAcentral lists this ribosomal RNA (327 nucleotides) under uncultured eukaryote. Its description in RNAcentral is "partial 18S ribosomal RNA". It matches the Rfam family "Eukaryotic small subunit ribosomal RNA", at positions 1470 to 1796 of the family's 1831-position model. The record is from RNAcentral.
CCCCUAGACGUUCUGGGCUGCACGCGCGCUACAAUAAUACGCACAGCGAGUAUCACCGAGCUCGAAAGGGCAAGGUAAACAAUAGAAAAGGUACUGUAAUGGUUAUAGAUCCUUGUAAUUAUUGAUCUUCAACGAGGAAUUCCUAGUAAGUAUGUGUCAUCAUCACGCACUGAUUACGUCCCUGCCCUUUGUACACACCGCCCGUCGCUCCUACCGAUUGAGCAUCCCGGUGAAGACUCAGGAGAUAUGUACGUGGCUGGUCUCCAGCUGCGUUGCGUGCCGAAUUUGUCUAAACCUUGAUGCUUAGAGGAAGGAGAAGUCGUAACA